This 252-nucleotide ribosomal RNA is filed under the name uncultured bacterium. RNAcentral describes it as "partial 16S ribosomal RNA". It matches the Rfam family "Bacterial small subunit ribosomal RNA", at positions 524 to 776 of the family's 1533-position model. The record is from RNAcentral.
UACAGAGGGUGCGAGCGUUAAUCGGAAUUACUGGGCGUAAAGCGCGCGUAGGCGGCUUUGCAAGUCGGGUGUGAAAUCCCCAGGCUUAACCUGGGAACUGCAUUCGAGACUGCAUUGCUAGAGUAUGGGAGAGGGAAGUGGAAUUUCCGGUGUAGCGGUGAAAUGCGUAGAUAUCGGAAGGAACAUCAGGGCGAAAGCGACUUCCUGGACCAAUACUGACGCUCAUGUGCGAAAGCGUGGGGAGCAAACAGG